UUCAGUCUCACAUACGUUAUAAAAGCAGGUUUUCCUAUAUAAAGUCUACAGAACGCUCUAGACUUAUUAUUAGCAAAUAUUGCUGAAUUAUUUAUUAUUUAAUUUUGUUCUUCCUGAGAUCUUUGCAAAGACCAUUUUAGGAUGGGGGGUGAAAACAGCCAUAUUGCCAAUGCCUGCUACUCUGAGCUCUGGAUUUUUUUUGAGUCAAGGAAAUUGCACCUUAAUGAAAUAAUACUAGAUGCCUCUAUACAAGGAGGGGUUAAUGUGGGCGAGCAAGUGGAAGCCUAUUUAAAUAUGGGGGCCAAUAUUGCUGUGAGUCUUAGACCAGACAAUAGGAUCCAGUUCCUAAGAGUUCCCCCCAGGCAGGUAAUUAAUAUACCCAUGCAGGGGAAUAUUUACGUGACCGCCAUCGCCAAACGUGAUGGCAAAAAUGAGCUGAUGUGCUUCAACUUCAUGAUUCCAAGUGAUCGAUCCAUCAUCGUUAUUGACAAUGGGAUGGUUAAGAUGGCAAUGUAUGGGGCGCUGUGGAAAGAUGAGGAGGGAAAAUAUCACUGAACAUAAAAAAGCCUGAUGAUCAAUUCCAUCUAAAAGAAAGAAAAUUGCUUUUGCAGAGUCUGAUAACCAAAUCCUGAGUUACACAUAAUUAUACCAUUAUUUACUCCAAAAUCUAAUGAGCUUGCUGAUAUUUUACAUGAGAAUUCUCUUUUAAAGAAAUGAAUCAAGUGAGAUAAGAAAUAAAGUCUGAUGUUAAAAGAA
Molecule: long non-coding RNA, 756 nt
Organism: Bombina bombina (fire-bellied toad)
Lineage: Eukaryota; Metazoa; Chordata; Amphibia; Anura; Bombinatoridae
Exons: 2
Source: RefSeq, a predicted model, not a curated record